CUGAAUUGCCAGCAUCAUUACUUAGGAACAUUAUUAAGUAAAAUAAGGAUUACUUGAACACAAGCACUGUGAUGCUCAAUAGUUGAUCUGAUAACCAAGACGGUUAGUUACUAAGUGACUAAUGAGCAGGUAAUAUAGAUGGCGUGGAUGUGCUGUACAAAGAGAUGAUUCACGUCCCAGGCAGGACAGAGUGGGAUGGCGUGAGAUUUCGUCACAUUACUCAGAACAGCAUGCAAUUUAAAACAUGAAUUGCUUUCCAUUUAAAAAUAAAGGAAUUUGAUUAUGCGUUCUCUAAAGCUUCCAAAAGGAUCCAGUCCCAGAUACGUAUUACAUUUAGUCAUCAUGGCUCCUUCGUCUCCUCUGCACAAGGGGAAGCAGCCUGUGGCCCUCACCAGAUGCAGAUAUCCAAUCUUCCAGCAAACAGAAUCGGUCUGCCUAUCCUCACAUAAGCCAAUCCAUUCUCCAUCUCCUUUAAGCAGACAUAUACUGCCUCACGAGGAAACUGACAUCCAGUAAAAGAUCAACAUUAAACAUAAGCCUGGUAGCAGAACCAUAACAGAACCCUGCACUCAUGAUGCCUUCUGAGGACUCUGCCCAUCUUCCUUGAUUAACUCCAGAAUACAGAAGCAACCCUAAAAAUGCAAGCAAACAUCCUGAAGAAGUCAGGAAUGGAUUUUUCUAAGACUCUGUAUAGGCAUACCUCGAAGAUAUUGUGGGUUGGAUCCAGACUACUACAAUAAAGAGAGUAUAAUAAUAAGUUAAGUCACAUAAAUUUUUUAUUUACUUAUAUAUACACUAUAUUGUAGUCUAUUAAGUAUGCAAUAGCAUUAUGUCUUAAAAUUUGUGUAUAUCUUAAUUUAAAGAUAUUUUAUUGUGAAAAAUGCUAACAAUCAUCUUGAGCCUUCAGUGAGUUAUAAUCUUUUGGCUGAUGGAGCAUCUUACCUCAAUUGUGGUGACUGUUGGCAGAGUGGUGGUUGCUGAAGGAUGGGGUGGCUAUGGCAAUUUCUUAAAAUAAAACAAUGAACUUUGGUGUAUCUGUCAACACUUCCUUUCAGAAGAGUUUUCUGUAGCCUAUGAUGCUGUUUAACAGCAUUUUACUAUCAGUAGAACCUCCUUCAAAAUUGGAGUCAAUCUUCUCCAACCCUGUUGCUGCCUAAUCAACCAUGUUUAUGUAACAUUCUAAAUUCUUUGCUGUUAUUUCAACAAUGUUCACAGGGCCGGGCACGGUGGCUCACGCCUGUAAUCCCAGCACUUUGGGAGGCUUAGGUGGGCAGAUCACGAGGUCAGGAGAUCAAGACCAUCCUGGAUAACACGGUGAAACCCCGUCUCUACUAAAAAUACAAAAAAAUAGCCGGGCAUGCUGGCAGGUGCCUGUAGUCCCAGCUACUCAGGAGGCUGAGGCAGGAGAAUACUGUGAACCCAGGAGGCGGGGUUUGCAGUGAGCCAAGAUCGCACCACUGCACUCCAGCCUGGGUAACAGAGCGAGACUCUGUCUCAAAAAAAAAAAAAAAAAAAAAAACAAGGUUCACAGCAUCUUCACCAAGAACAGAUUCCCUCGCAAAAAAACACUUUCUGGCCAGUUGCAGUAGUUGCUGUAAUCCCAGCAAUUUGGGAGGCCAAAAUGAGAUGGUCACUUGAGCCCAGGAGUUUGAGACCAGCCUGGGCAACAUAGGGAAACACUCUCUCUCCAAAAAAAAAAAAAAAAAAAUCAAUUUGCUGGGAAUGAUGGUGCAUACCUAUAGUCCCAGCUACUCAGGAGGCUGAGGUGGGAGGAUUGCUUGAGCCCAGAAGGUCAAGCUACAGUGAGAUGUUAUUGUGCCACUGCACUCCAGUUUGGGCAACAUAGUGAGACCUUGUCUCAAAAAUUAAAAAAAAAAAAAAAAAAAAAAGGAAAAGAAAAAAGAAACCACUUUAUUUGUGCAUCCAUAAGAAGCAACUCCUCAUCACUCAUCCAUCCGAGUUCUAUCAUGAGAUUGCAGCAAUUCAGUCCCAUCUUCAGGCUUCACUUAUAAUUGUAGUUCUCUUGCUAUUUCUACCAUAUCUGCAGUUACUUCCUCCAUUGAAGUCUUCAACUCCCCAAAGUUAUCCAUAAGAGUGAUAAUCGACUUCUUUCAAACUCCUGUUAAUGUUCAUAUUUUGACUUCCUCUUAUGAAUCACAAAUGUUCUUAAUGGCAUUUAAAAUGGUGAAUCCUUUCCAGGAGGUUUUCAACUCACUUUGCCAAGACCUAUCAGAGGAAUUAAUAAAAUAUAAAAUAUAAAAAUAACAUCAAUGUCCUUGCACAUGUCCAUCAGAGCCCUUGGAUGACCAAUUCAUUAUCAAUGAGCAGUAAUAUUUUGGAAAUAAUCUUUUUUUCUGAACAUUAGGUCUCCACAGCGGGCUUAAAAUUUUUAGUAAACAGUCUGUAAAAAGACUUGCUGUCGCCCAAGCUGUGUUGUUCUAUUUAUAGAGAACAAGCAGAGUAGGUAUAGUAUAAUUCCUAAGGAACUUAGGAUUUCCAGAACGAUCAAUGAAUAUUGGCUUCAACUUGAAGUUGCCAGCUUCAUUGGCCCCUAACAAGAGAGUCAGCCUGCCCCUUAAAGCUUUGAAGUCAGGCAUUGACUUCUCCUCUCUAGCUAUGAAAGUCCUAGAUGGCAUCUUCUUCCAAUAGAAGGCUGUUUGUCUAUAUUGAAAGUCUGUUGUUUAACAUAGCCACCUUUGUCAAUUAUCUUAGCUUGAUCUCUGGAUAACUUGCUUCAGCUUCUCCAUCAGCACUCACUGCUUCACCUUGCACUUUUAUAUUAUGAAGAUGGCCUCUUUCCUUAAACCCCAUGAACCCACCUUUGCCAAUUUUAAAUUUUCUUCUGUAGCUUCCUCACUUCUCUCAGCCUUCAAAGAACUGCACAGAGGUAUGGCCUUGCUCUGGAUUAGGCUUUGGCUUUAGGGAAUGUUGUGACUUGUUUGAUCUUUUAUCCAGACCACUAAAACUUUCUCUGUAUCAGCAAUGAAACUAUUUCACUUUCUUAUCAUUUGUGUGUUCGCUGAAGUAGCACUUUUAAUUUUCUUUGAGAACUUUUCCUUUGCAUUCACAACGGUUUGGCUCAAGAGGCUUAGCUUUCAGCCUACCUUGGCUUUCCACAUGUCUUCCUCACUAAUUUCAAUCAUUUCUAACUUUUGACUGAAAGUGAGAGAUGUGCCACUCUUCAUUUCACUUUAACACUUAGAGGACAUUGUAGGGUUAUUAAUUGGUCUAAUUUCAAUAUUGUUGUGUCCCAGGGAAUAGGGAGGCCUGAAGAAAGGGAGAGAGAUGAGGGAAUGGCCAAUUGGUGGAGCAAUUAGAAUGCCCAUAUUUACUUACUGAGUUUCCUGUCUUAUAUGGGCACAAUUUGUGACACCCCAGGACAGUUAUAAUGGUAACAUCAGAGAUUGCUGAUUACAGAUCUGCAAAACAGAUAUAAUAACAAGAUUUGAAAUAUUGCAAGAAUUACCAAAAUGUAACAGAUUGAAGUAAAGUGAGCACCUGCUCUUGGAAAAAUGGUACCAAUAGACUUGCUUGAUGCAGUGUUGCCACAAACCUUCUAUUUUUUAAAAAUGCAAUAUUUGCACAAAGCACAAUAAAGUGAAGUGCAAUAAAAUGAAGUAUGCCUGUAAUUGUCAUAUGUGUUCCAAAGCCCUAUCUAAACCAUUCAUAGUGAUAACAAUCCAAAAUAUUUUUAGAAUCUCCAGAAAACUUGAUUCAUUCUCUACAUUUUAGAAUCACAAUUAUAUCUAGAAUGUAUCUUGAAUAUUAUCUGCAAUCUUUAUUUACAAUACUCUCUUGUUCAUUUAUUUAUUUAUCUGAUUUUUUUCAGUAAACAGAAUAUUCAAUCCUAAGAGUCAUGAAAACCUCAAGUUUGAGCUCUACUCUAGUUGGUUGUAUGACUUUAAAAGUAGUACUUUAUAUCUCAGUAAUUAAAUUUUAUACUCUAUAAAAUUAAGGGUUUAGUCCAAUGCAUUUUAAAGGUCCCUUCCAGUUUCAAUGUUUAAGAUUUAAUAAUUACAAUAAUUGUUUACAUUAAUGAGUGCCAGCCAUUCUACUUAGCACCUAACAUAAUUUACCUCAUUCAAUCUUCCUAAAGCUCUAUGAAAUAAGUGCUAUUAUUAUUGAUAUUUUACCAAUGAGAAGACUGAGGCACAGGGAAGUUACAUAACUUUCCUGAAACCAUUCAACAGAAAGCAUAAAGCUGGAUGGAAAUCCAAGUAUGACUUAUUCUACUCUGAACAACAUCUAAAUCAAAGGGCAGGUGAGUAGAGAUAAAAAGUUACCCCAAAUGUUAAAUUCAGUCACUUCAGAAAAUUUCAGAAUGCUUGGCAGCAACUCUAGCUAUGAAUUGCUAAAUCACAAAGCAACAGGAAAAAUAUUUCCUGUCUCCAGCUAUCCCUCCCUCCUAAGCUGUAUUCCAUCAGCACAUCAGCACGUCUCCCCACAGACUCUCCCCAACCACGUGCACCAGUUCUACCUAAAUAUACAGGCACAUGUGUGCUCACAUACACACACACACACACACAUACACUGCUGGAAGAAGGAUAUCUACCUACUAAGUCUAUCUUAAAACACAGAAUGAUAUUUUAUAUGGCAAUCUUUAUAUAAUAAGAUUAGUGUGUUUGAAAUUGGAUUUUUAUAAAGAUAACGGAGCUUUUUAUUUCAUUUACAUGGAAACACCUACAAAGACAGUCACACACAUACAAAGUCACUGGCCUCAAACUAUUUUACCCACUUUUUUAUUAACAGAAAAAUUUUCUCUUUAAAUUAGUUUUGCUUAAGAUAGCAAUGGAGAAGAAACAAAAAGACACUCAACCUGAUAACAACAAUUAAACAGGAUAUUGAGCUAAAAUUUGAAUGAUCCUUAUUUUGAUCCCUGGCUAAUCAAAUUUUGAAAGCAUUCUCCAUAGCCUGUAGGAGUGUUUCAACUACAACAUGUUCUAAUGUUCUUCAGCAUGUUAUUCCUUCAUAAAACUGAAAAAUAUAGGAAAAAGUGUGCAUCAGUUCUUAGUCACUAGUGUAAGCAUAAUGUAGCCAUUAGUUAGAGAGCAUAUUCUAGUUAGUUUGUGGUAGCAAUUCUUCAGUUAACCUAUUAACAUACUCCAAUUUUAUUUAAGUAGUUUCAAAUUUAAAGAAAAAUAAAGAAUAUUUGAUAUUUUAAUGAAAUGAUGUAUUUAGUUGUGCCCAUCUGUACAAAAAAAUACAAAAUAUUAGUCAGGCAUGGUAGCACACACCGAUAGUACUAGCUACUUAGGAGGCUGAGGCAGAAGGAUUGCUUGAGUCCAGGAGUUCAAGGCUACUGUGAGCUAUGAUAGUGCCACUGCAAUCCAACUGAGUAACAGAAUGAGUUGCUAUUUCAAAACAGAAAUUUUCUUUUGGUAGCUGUCUCCUUGGAAAAUACAUGAGUAAUUAAUAGAGAAUUAUAUACCUAAAUAAUAAUAGAAAAAUAUUGAAGAAAUACAUACAUAUAUAUUAUAUAUGCAAAUUAAAUAAAACAUAUGCAAAUAUUUUUAAAUUGAAUAUUUAUCAUAACUUUAGAGGAGAAUGCUAAGUUUAAACAUCAUGCAACAACUUCAGGAAAUAAAAGUGCAGGAAUUCUACUUUGAAAAACAGUGUGCUAGGUUGGACCAACCAUCCUACUGAGAACAACUAGAAAAACUGAAUAAAAUACAAAAACAUAUUCUCAAAAAAAUGAAGAAGUUUAAAAAUAGUGAAGAAUUACCUGCUUAAGAUCUUGGAAGACUAUGAAAUUCAGAGAGUUAAGCCUGUCAUUUUUGGGCUCAAAUAACACUGGUAGCUGAAAGACUGGCAUCUUUGACAGUCCUAUAAUGUUAGGAACCAAAGGUUGAGGUACAAUAGCAAAGGAUGUUGGUCCUUAUAAAACACCACCCUUUAGGUAGGAAUCCUGAAAGGACGUACCCUAAUGGUAAUAAUGAACCAAAAAUAAACAAGUAAAGAUGAACUACAGACCAGCUUUGCAUCACUCAGAUAGCUCAGCAAAUCUUGUUCCUCAAAAUUGAAUUCUAAAAAUCUUUAAUUUUCAUUGAACUGAAGCUAAAAAAGUCAGAUAAAAUGUUUCUCUCUGUAUGAAGAUAAUAUUAUCCUAGGCCUUUAAAUUUUUACAAAUUUUAAAAUACCUUGUUAAGUCUACCAUCAAAAAUAACUAGGUACGUGUAUAGAAAAGGCAACAUGAAUGAGAAAUAAUAAAAAUAACAGAUAAAAUAAAUAUACCUAGAGGGGUUUCAUGUAUUAGAAUUAUCUGUCACAGACUUUAAAAUGAGUGAUAUGGUUUGGCUCUGUGCCCCCCCAACCCAAAUCUCAUCUCAAAUUAUAAACCCUGUAAUCCCCACAUGUUGAGGGAGGGACCUAGUGGGAGGUGGUUGGAUCAUGGGGGUGGUUCCCUCAUGCUGUUCUCAUGAUAGUGAGAGGUUUCUCACGACAGCUGAUAGUUUUAGAAGUGUUUGACAGUUCCUUCUUCCUGAACUUGCUCUCUUGCCUGCCACCAUGUAAGACGUGCUUGCUUCCUCUUCUGCCAUGGCUGUAAGUUUUCUGAGGCCUCCCCAGGCAUAUGGAACUAUGAGUCAAUUAAACCUCUUUUCUUUAUAAAUUACCUAGUCUUGGGCAGUUCUUUACAGUAGUGUGAAAAUGGACUAAUACAAUAACUGUACUUAUAACAGCAUAAAACAAAUUGUAGCAAGAAUUAAUUAUUAAAACAUUGCAUAGUCAAUGUGAAAAAGAAUAAAAUGGAGGCCCUAUAAUCAAAAACUGUAAUGGAAAUUAAGAACUCAGUGCCUGGUUUCAGUAGUAGAUUAGACUUGGAUGAAGGCAAUAUUAGUGAACAGGAAGAGAGCUCAGAAGAAAAUAUUUAGAAAGGAGUAAAGAAUGGAAAAUAUAGGAAAGUGCCUGAGACAUAGAGGACAUAGUAAAAACAUGUUACAUAUAGUAACUGUUGUUUCCAAAGGAAAGCAAAAAAAAAAAAGAAUAGGUCAGAAAUUACAUUUGGAAUUACAGCUAGAUAGGAGAGAUGAAUUAUAGUGUUCUGCAG
Molecule: long non-coding RNA, 7045 nt
Filed under: Homo sapiens (human)
Lineage: Eukaryota; Metazoa; Chordata; Mammalia; Primates; Hominidae
Description: HSALNT0062533
Source: RNAcentral